GAGGAAUACAUCGGAAUCUGCCUUAUCGUGGGGGAUAACGUAGGGAAACUUACGCUAAUACCGCAUACGACCUACGGGUGAAAGCGGGGGAUCGCAAGACCUCGCGCGAUAAGAUGAGCCGAUGUCGGAUUAGCUAGUUGGCGGGGUAAAGGCCCACCAAGGCGACGAUCCGUAGCUGGUCUGAGAGGAUGAUCAGCCACACUGGAACUGAGACACGGUCCAGACUCCUACGGGAGGCAGCAGUGGGGAAUAUUGGACAAUGGGCGCAAGCCUGAUCCAGCCAUGCCGCGUGGGUGAAGAAGGCCUUCGGGUUGUAAAGCCCUUUUGUCCGGAAAGAAAAGCACUGGAUUAAUACUUCGGUGUUCUGACGGUACCGGAAGAAUAAGCACCGGCUAACUUCGUGCCAGCAGCCGCGGUAAUACGAAGGGUGCAAGCGUUACUCGGAAUUACUGGGCGUAAAGCGUGCGUAGGUGGUUCGUUAAGUCUGAUGUGAAAGCCCUGGGCUCAACCUGGGAAUUGCACUGGAUACUGGCGGGCUAGAGUGCGGUAGAGGAUGGCGGAAUUCCCGGUGUAGCAGUGAAAUGCGUAGAGAUCGGGAGGAACAUCUGUGGCGAAGGCGGCCAUCUGGACCAGCACUGACACUGAGGCACGAAAGCGUGGGGAGCAAACAGGAUA
This 675-nucleotide ribosomal RNA is filed under the name Lysobacter sp. RNAcentral describes it as "bacterial SSU rRNA". It matches the Rfam family "Bacterial small subunit ribosomal RNA", at positions 108 to 779 of the family's 1533-position model. The record is from RNAcentral. Lineage: Bacteria; Pseudomonadati; Pseudomonadota; Gammaproteobacteria; Lysobacterales; Lysobacteraceae.